This is a long non-coding RNA of Leopardus geoffroyi (Geoffroy's cat), 670 nucleotides long. RefSeq lists it as uncharacterized. The transcript has 4 exons. The record is from RefSeq and is a predicted model, not a curated record. NCBI's taxonomy places the organism in Eukaryota, Metazoa, Chordata, Mammalia, Carnivora, Felidae.
CUCUUGCCUUAAGGAGCAGACCAGCAGGGAAGCAGACCCAAUCAUUCCAGGACCAAAGGGAAGAAUUAUUACGAAGCAUAAAGAGGGAUCUCUGGAAACAUAAAGCUAAAUGGUCAUGUAACAAAGUUUUGGCCAAUGAAAUAUGAGAAGAGAUUUACUGGAACAUCCUUCCUUUUUUUAACCGUCUUGAAUGAGGACAAGAGUGACAGCAGCCACUGUGCAGCCAUAAUAGAAAGAACAUGAAAAUCACAGAGAUGCUGGUCCCUACAUCUUUGAGCCAAUGGACCACCUACCUCCAAACUUCUUAUGAAGGCCCCAAACCACAAACACAAAGGAAGCUUCCAUGGAACAGGAUUACAGCACUGCCAGCAACCAGCAGCAGAAAUGCUGCUGCAACCCAGGUGCAACCAGCAGCAGAAAUGGCCAAGACAGGAAACAUCAGCACCAGCAGCGCAGAGACCUCCAUGUAACAUGAAGAAUUGGUCCACUGAGCAUUGAAGACACAACAAGACAUGUUCCCAUCAAACUGGUCAGGUAGUCCUGUCACUUUCACCUCAUAGUGUGUCACAAACCAUUUCUCCCUAUGAUCUUCCAUUUAGUUCCCCUGAAUUAAAGUGAUGGCUCUUAACUGGCCUCCCUGCCUCCAUUCUCUCCCAGUCCUCCAGUCGAA